Molecule: unclassified non-coding RNA, 601 nt
Filed under: Trichoderma hamatum
Lineage: Eukaryota; Fungi; Ascomycota; Sordariomycetes; Hypocreales; Hypocreaceae
Description: sequence contains 18S rRNA gene, ITS1, 5.8S rRNA gene, ITS2, 28S rRNA gene
Rfam family: 5.8S ribosomal RNA (bases 227-380)
Source: RNAcentral
UCGUAACAAGGUCUCCGUUGGUGAACCAGCGGAGGGAUCAUUACCGAGUUUACAACUCCCAAACCCAAUGUGAACGUUACCAAACUGUUGCCUCGGCGGGGUCACGCCCCGGGUGCGUAAAAGCCCCGGAACCAGGCGCCCGCCGGAGGAACCAACCAAACUCUUUCUGUAGUCCCCUCGCGGACGUAUUUCUUACAGCUCUGAGCAAAAAUUCAAAAUGAAUCAAAACUUUCAACAACGGAUCUCUUGGUUCUGGCAUCGAUGAAGAACGCAGCGAAAUGCGAUAAGUAAUGUGAAUUGCAGAAUUCAGUGAAUCAUCGAAUCUUUGAACGCACAUUGCGCCCGCCAGUAUUCUGGCGGGCAUGCCUGUCCGAGCGUCAUUUCAACCCUCGAACCCCUCCGGGGGGUCGGCGUUGGGGAUCGGGACCCCUCACCGGGUGCCGGCCCUGAAAUACAGUGGCGGUCUCGCCGCAGCCUCUCCUGCGCAGUAGUUUGCACAACUCGCACCGGGAGCGCGGCGCGUCCACGUCCGUAAAACACCCAACUUCUGAAAUGUUGACCUCGGAUCAGGUAGGAAUACCCGCUGAACUUAAGCAUAUCA